Molecule: ribosomal RNA, 587 nt
Filed under: uncultured bacterium
Lineage: Bacteria
Description: partial 16S ribosomal RNA
Rfam family: Bacterial small subunit ribosomal RNA
Source: RNAcentral
UGGGGAAUUUUGGACAAUGGGCGAAAGCCUGAUCCAGCAAUGCCGCGUGUGUGAAGAAGGCCUUCGGGUUGUAAAGCACUUUUGUCCGGAAAGAAAUCCUUGGCUCUAAUACAGUCNAGGGGAUGACGGGUACCGGAAGAAUAAGCACCGGCUAACUACGUGCCAGCAGCCGCGGUAAUACGUAGGGUGCAAGCGUUAAUCGGAAUUACUGGGCGUAAAGCGUGCGCAGGCGGUUUGCUAAGACCGAUGUGAAAUCCCCGGGCUCAACCUGGGAACUGCAUUGGUGACUGGCAGGCUAGAGUAUGGCAGAGGGGGGUAGAAUUCCACGUGUAGCAGUGAAAUGCGUAGAGAUGUGGAGGAAUACCGAUGGCGAAGGCAGCCCCCUGGGCCAAUACUGACGCUCAUGCACGAAAGCGUGGGGAGCAAACAGGAUUAGAUACCCUGGUAGUCCACGCCCUAAACGAUGUCAACUAGUUGUUGGGGAUUCAUUUCCUUAGUAACGUAGCUAACGCGUGAAGUUGACCGCCUGGGGAGUACGGUCGCAAGAUUAAAACUUAAAUGAAUUGACGGGGUCAUAGCUGUUUCCU